AGAGUUUGAUCCUGGCUCAGGAUGAACGCUAGCGACAGGCCUAACACAUGCAAGUCGAGGGGCAGCAUUUCUAGCUUGCUAGAAGAUGGCGACCGGCGCACGGGUGAGUAACGCGUAUGCAACCUACCUUAUACUGGGGGAUAGCCCAAAGAAAUUUGGAUUAAUACCGCAUAACAUAUUUGAAUCGCAUGGUUUAGAUAUUAAAACUCCGGUGGUAUAAGAUGGGCAUGCGUAGCAUUAGUUAGUUGGUGAGGUAACGGCUCACCAAGACAAUGAUGCUUAGGGGGUCUGAGAGGAUAGUCCCCCACACUGGUACUGAGACACGGACCAGACUCCUACGGGAGGCAGCAGUGAGGAAUAUUGGUCAAUGGACGCAAGUCUGAACCAGCCAUGUCGCGUGCAGGAUGACGGCCCUAUGGGUUGUAAACUGCUUUUUUACAGGAAUAAUUGUCGAUACGUGUAUUGAUUUGAAUGUACUGUAUGAAUAAGAUCGCUAACU
RNAcentral lists this ribosomal RNA (499 nucleotides) under uncultured bacterium. Its description in RNAcentral is "bacterial SSU rRNA". It matches the Rfam family "Bacterial small subunit ribosomal RNA", at positions 8 to 502 of the family's 1533-position model. The record is from RNAcentral.